CCCAAGUGCCGACUCUGCCUCUGGCUGUGCUAGCAUUGCCGCUCCCUGGGAACCCAGCCAAGGAUAAAGAGACCUGUCAGCUAACAUGAGCUGUGAAGCGGCUUCCACUGUGAGCGGCCUGUCAGCGGCAGAGGCUCCGUUGACAGAACAGCUUGGCUGCCCAACUCUGGGGCCAUGCACAGUGGCGGCAUGAGUGAGCUCUCCUCCGCUCCUGCUGCCUGUUUUUGCUGCCUCCUCCCAAUGGGGACACCCGUGCGAAACCUUAAGUUCUCCUUUGGGACAAAAAAAGAAAAGAAAAAAGAAGAAGCAGCAGCUUCCUUCCCCUUCUCUAUCACAGAGUCUGACAUCAGUGUGUUAUUUUAGUCUGUCAGAAGACAAGGGAGAUGGUGAUGCAAACUCUGCAGAAGCAACAGGGUAUGGGUUCAGGAGCAACACUUUUGCCUCUGGGUUCAAGCUAUGUGAAAUACCGUGCUGCUGAGAUUUUCAGGACCAGCUCCUCUCUUGAUCCUUUUAUUCCCACAGGUACAUCAGGCAAAGAUAUGGGAAACUUUCUUCUUCUUUGCUCUAAAAUCCCUUCCUAGGUAGACUAUAAUGGUCCCCAACCUCCUGUCCUUCUAUCAGCAGGCAAAGACUUUUGGGAAAAAAUUAUUCUGGGAGGCUUUUGAUACUGAGGAAGAAAAAGGCUUCGGGGGUUGACUGUUUUUUAAAAGAAUGUUUACAUUUUCCCUCGGUCCUCAAAUUUCUGGCACUGCAGAGAGAGUGAUGCUGAAAACCGUUCCCACUCAGAACACUUCUAUUUGCUCCGUUCACAUUCCCUUGGUCACUCUGCCUGCCUCUUUUCUCUGGAUGCCAAAACUCUGUUUCUAAAGGCUCAGCUGAAGGUUUCAGUUACUGAAAUACUAGAUAUUUCAGAACUGAAGGGAAAAAAGACAUUUAGGUGACAGAAUUCUUACUUGGGGAGAUGCCCUAAUUCUGUCCCCUAUAGGUGUAUCUCUGAGCCAUUGCGUUUUUGUUGGUACCUAUAUAUUUUGCCUUUUAAUCAUGCUGUGAACUGGCCCCGAGUUCCAGUUCUUUUAGAGAAGGAUGUGAUAUAAAUUUAACAAAUUAACAAAUAUAACCCAACGUUCUGAAGUCGAAGGCUUUCAUGGCCAGCAUCCAUAGUUUUUGUGGAUUUUUGGACUAUGUGGCUAUGUUCUAGAAGAGUUUGUUCCUGAUGUUCCUGACCCAAUGCUCUCUAUUUCCAGAUUGUGCCCUCAAUGCUGCUUCAUGCUCAGAAGGUCAGCUGUGCAACUGAGUAUCAUCUGCUCUUUUCCUCCUCUGGCUUCACCAUCUCAGUCCAGUGGUUUCACACUCCGAGAGAGCAAGAGUGAGAGGCCUUGCGCUUGAUUUUAAGGACACCUGAUGCAGCCCCAGUGCCAUAUUUUUGCUUGCCCCGGCUAAAAUUCACCCUUGUGCCUGGUGGAGGAAUUGCUUCAUUUCCUCUGCAGCAGUCUAUCUCUCUAGAUUUCUCCCAAGAAAGGAGCCAAAGGAUCAUCUCUGGGACUCUGGAAAACCAAAACAAGAAGGUGUAAGGUCCUCUUUUGCAAAGGAGCAUCAGAUCUAGAAGUGAAGGAGUUACUGUGCCGGCGGAUGCUGCCAGGGCUUAAGAAGACCUGAGGGCAAGCCAGCCUUGUAUCCACUCGCCCAUCCUCCUGCAAGGAAAGGCUGUGAGCGAUGGGAUCAGCAAUCCCAGAUGAGAUGACCUCAUGCUCAAGUAAUCCAUAUUCCCUUUGAGAGAUGAGUGCGGAGGAGGGAAGGAACCUGGCCAGGCGUCAAGUAUGUUUGGAGGGUGUCCUCAGGAGAAGGAAAGCCUGAAGAAGCCCAGAGGGUUCCUCCAAGUUUCCGUCUGAGAAGGAGGAGGAAGUUAUGAGCACAUGGGUUCCUACGCAAGCAUUUCCUCUCGCUUUCCUGUCCCGUUCAGCCCUCCCAUCUGUUUCCUCAAAAUGUUCCCAAAAGGCAGGGACACAGGAGAACAUCUUGCAGGACGGAAACAGUGAAGGGGUCCGAAAAUAACUCACAGAAUCCUGAGAUUUUGAGAGAUGCCAAAGAUGGGCCUUUUUUCAGAAAGCCGGCUUGGAGCCUUGUCUUUCAGAAGCUGCCAGCUGUCGGAGCAGAGAGAGAGAAUUUGUUUCACACGGAGGUCUGGAGAGCAAUGGCAAGGCCACGACUGACUGGCGUUUGGAGGAGAGUGUGAGAAAAAUUCCUGGGCCAGGGCAGGGGGAGAGAUUGGGCCGGAAAUCGGGAGCAUGGGAGCAAUGGGGAAUGGAAUUUAAGAGGGUCUUAAGGAACCCCUGGGCCUCCCUUCCAAAGCUGGGGGGGCCGCUUUUGCUAAUGGGGUUUUCAGUACUGAGUACCACCGCACAUACCCCCCCCCCCAACCCUGGACUUGCACUCAGUUGCCGCAAGGGAAGGAAGAAAGGACUAUAAAUAACCUCUCCCGUCUGCUAACUGCAAGCAGAUGUCUUUGGCUGUGAUUUCAUCCUGGGACGAGGCCGGCCGUGUUGGACGCAGGGAGCCCUGCAAAUGAAUGGCUGGUGGGAUUCUUGAAUGAGAGUCAACUUUUUAUGUUAUUUAUUUAUUUUUCUUUUUGUAGCCGGUCAAAGUGCCUGGGAGAAAUUCCAGCCCUCCUUUUAGAAUGGGACUUGACUUUCUGGGGGGAGGACAGCGAAAACUGGUGUGGCACCACCACAUUUGCGGCUUUGAUUAUUCACGGAUUUUAUUGAUAUGUUUUC
Long non-coding RNA from Sceloporus undulatus (fence lizard), 2771 nucleotides. RefSeq lists it as uncharacterized. NCBI's taxonomy places the organism in Eukaryota, Metazoa, Chordata, Lepidosauria, Squamata, Phrynosomatidae. The record is from RefSeq and is a predicted model, not a curated record. The transcript is spliced from 6 exons.